AAGGAUUCCCCUAGUAAUGGCGAAUGAAGAGGGAAAAGCUCAAAUUUUAAAUCUACCUGGUUCCCAGGUCGAGUUGUAAUUUGAAGAAGCGAUAUCGGUGUGGAGGUCUGGUUCAAGUUCUUUGGAACAAGACAUCAUGGAGGGUGAGAAUCCCGUGCAUGAUCAGACCAAGAUACUUAAUAUUCGCUUUCUAAGAGUCGAGUUGUUUGGGAAUGCAGCUCAAAUUGGGUGGUAGACUUCACCUAAGGCUAAAUAUCAGCGAGAGACCGAUAGCGAACAAGUACUGUGAAGGAAAGAUGAAAAGAACUUUGAAAAGAGAGUUAAAUAGUACGUGAAAUUGUUGAAAGGGAAACGAUUGAAGUCAGUCAUGCUAGUGAAAAUUCAGUUUGGUGGGUUUUGGGUUCAGGAGUUGAGGCAGGGUCAAACCGUUUCUCUUUUGAACUUGGAAUUUGUCAAAUGCACUUUUUCUUUGGCAGGUCAGCGUCAAUUUCGGAGGUUGUAAAAUACUUGGGGAAAAGUAGCUCUGCUUCGGGGGAGUGUUAUAGACCUUGGGUGAUGCGGCCUGCGGGAUCGAGGAUUGCAGCAAAUGCUUUUGGCUUGUCGCCUGAUCUCUGGACGUCAUCUCGCUUGUAUCAACAUUCUUGGUACCGGUGAGUAAUGGUGCUCAUAGGUUAAAGCGAUCAAAAAUUUUGCUAAGGAUGCUGACGUAAUGGCUUUAAACGACCCGUCUUGAAACACGGACCAAGGAGUCUAAC
This 755-nucleotide ribosomal RNA is filed under the name Diversispora celata. RNAcentral describes it as "partial large subunit ribosomal RNA". It matches the Rfam family "Eukaryotic large subunit ribosomal RNA", at positions 70 to 679 of the family's 3401-position model. The record is from RNAcentral. Lineage: Eukaryota; Fungi; Glomeromycota; Glomeromycetes; Diversisporales; Diversisporaceae.